This 471-nucleotide ribosomal RNA is filed under the name uncultured organism. RNAcentral describes it as "partial 16S ribosomal RNA". It matches the Rfam family "Bacterial small subunit ribosomal RNA", at positions 334 to 797 of the family's 1533-position model. The record is from RNAcentral.
CACUCCUGCGGGAGGCAGCAGUGGGGAAUUUUGGACAAUGGGCGAAAGCCUGAUCCAGCAAUGCCGCGUGUGUGAAGAAGGCCUUCGGGUUGUAAAGCACUUUUGUCCGGAAAGAAAUCCUUGGCUCUAAUACAGUCGGGGGAUGACGGUACCGGAAGAAUAAGCACCGGCUAACUACGUGCCAGCAGCCGCGGUAAUACGUAGGGUGCGAGCGUUAAUCGGAAUUACUGGGCGUAAAGCGUGCGCAGGCGGUUUGCUAAGACCGAUGUGAAAUCCCCGGGCUCAACCUGGGAACUGCAUUGGUGACUGGCAGGCUAGAGUAUGGCAGAGGGGGGUAGAAUUCCACGUGUAGCAGUGAAAUGCGUAGAGAUGUGGAGGAAUACCGAUGGCGAAGGCAGCCCCCUGGGCCAAUACUGACGCUCAUGCACGAAAGCGUGGGGAGCAAACAGGAUUAGAAACCCUGGUAGUCCC